UACGAAGGGUGCAAGCGUUGUUCGGAUUUACUGGGCGUAAAGCGCGCGCAGGCGGAUUGGCAAGUCAGGUGUGAAAUCUCGGGGCUCAACUCCGAAACUGCGCCUGAAACUAUCAAUCUAGAGUGUUGGAGGGGGAAGUGGAAUAUCGCAUGUAGGGGUAAAAUCCGUAGAGAUGCGAUGGAACACCAGUGGCGAAGGCGACUUCCUGGACAACAACUGACGCUGAGGCGCGAAAGCGUGGGGAGCAAACAGG
This 253-nucleotide ribosomal RNA is filed under the name uncultured bacterium. RNAcentral describes it as "partial 16S ribosomal RNA". It matches the Rfam family "Bacterial small subunit ribosomal RNA", at positions 524 to 776 of the family's 1533-position model. The record is from RNAcentral.